AUGACAGCCCCGUGUUGCUGCCUGACCCCCGACCUGGCAGCAGCGCGGGGCUCUCGU
Rhodococcus erythropolis PR4 is the source of this 57-nucleotide non-coding RNA. Lineage: Bacteria; Bacillati; Actinomycetota; Actinomycetes; Mycobacteriales; Nocardiaceae. The record is from Rfam.